RNAcentral lists this ribosomal RNA (253 nucleotides) under uncultured bacterium. RNAcentral describes it as "partial 16S ribosomal RNA". It matches the Rfam family "Bacterial small subunit ribosomal RNA", at positions 524 to 776 of the family's 1533-position model. The record is from RNAcentral.
UACGUAGGGCGCAAGCGUUGUCCGGAAUUAUUGGGCGUAAAGAGCUCGUAGGCGGUUUGUCGCGUCGGCUGUGAAAUCCUGGGGCUUAACUCCGGGCCUGCAGUCGAUACGGGCAGACUUGAGUGUGGUAGGGGAGACUGGAAUUCCUGGUGUAGCGGUGAAAUGCGCAGAUAUCAGGAGGAACACCGGUGGCGAAGGCGGGUCUCUGGGCCAUUACUGACGCUGAGGAGCGAAAGCGUGGGGAGCGAACAGG